CCCAUGGCCCAUAGGCGACAAGUGAUGACACAGAGAUGUCCCCAUUGGGGACAGUGAUGGUGACAUGGGGACAGUGAUGACACAGAGGUGUCCCUGUAGGUGACAAUGAUGACACAGAGAUGUCCCCAUAGGUGACAAUGACAUUGGGAUGACCCCAUUGGGGUCAAUGAUGGUGACAUGGGGACAGUGAUGACACAGAGAUGUCCCCAUAGGUGACAAUGACAUUGAGGUGUCCCCAUGGCCGCCAUAGGGGACAAUGAUGACACAGAGAUGUCCCCACGGCCCAUUGGGGACAAUGACGGUGACACAGAGACGCCCCCAUUGGGGUCAAUGACACUGAGAUGCCCCCAUAGGUGACGGUGCCCCUCCCCGCGUCCCUCUGUCCCCAUUGUCCCCUCUGUCCCCAUUGUCCCCUCAGUGCCCCCCCCCCCCCCGAGUGCCACUGUGACCCCGUCCCCAUUUUGACCCAAAUUUGGGCCAUUUCGGGGCCGGAAACGAAAACUGUGAGCGACCGCAGCCACCGCCACUGUGACCCCAACCGUGACCCCAAAAUGUCCCCAAACGUCCCCUAAAUGUCCUCCGUGGCCCCCAACGCCCCCUCUGUGUCCCCGACGUCCCCCCACAAUGGCCCUUUUCCCCCAUUGUUGCCCAUUUCGGUCCCUUUUUACCCCAUUUCCUCCCUUCGUGUCCCCGUGCGACGCAGUCUCGUCCUCAAUUAAAGCUUUUGUAGCUCACCGUGG
Molecule: long non-coding RNA, 740 nt
Filed under: Gallus gallus (chicken)
Lineage: Eukaryota; Metazoa; Chordata; Aves; Galliformes; Phasianidae
Source: RNAcentral